UACAGAGGGUGCAAGCGUUGUUCGGAAUUAUUGGGCGUAAAGCGCGUGUAGGUGGCGUGCCAAGUCAGAUGUGAAAGCCCACGGCUUAACCGUGGAAGUGCACCUGAUACUGGUAUGCUCGAAUGUUCGAGAGGAUAGUGGAAUUCCCCGUGUAGAGGUGAAAUUCGUAGAUAUGGGGAGGAACACCAGUGGCGAAGGCGACUAUCUGGAGAAAUAUUGACACUGAGACGCGAAAGCGUGGGUAGCAAACAGG
This 253-nucleotide ribosomal RNA is filed under the name uncultured bacterium. Its description in RNAcentral is "partial 16S ribosomal RNA". It matches the Rfam family "Bacterial small subunit ribosomal RNA", at positions 524 to 776 of the family's 1533-position model. The record is from RNAcentral.